This 75-nucleotide transfer RNA is filed under the name Betaproteobacteria bacterium. RNAcentral's name for it is "tRNA-Thr". It matches the Rfam family "tRNA". Rfam says of the family: Transfer RNA (tRNA) molecules are approximately 80 nucleotides in length. Their secondary structure includes four short double-helical elements and three loops (D, anti-codon, and T loops). The record is from RNAcentral. Lineage: Bacteria; Pseudomonadati; Pseudomonadota; Betaproteobacteria.
GCCGCACAAGCAUUGACGGUGAUGCUCCGGUUUUGUAAGCCGGCGAAGCGGGUUCAAGUCCCGAAUGCGGCUCCA